AAAGCCGGAUGGAUGAAGUGGCGCCAAGCUUCUGGCAUUCUCUGUGACAAGAGAGUGCCACAAAAGCUAAAAGGCAAGUUCUACAGGACGGAGGUUCGACCCGCAAUGUUGUAUGGUGCGGAGUGUUGGUCGACUAAAAGGCGACAUGUUCAACAGUUAGGUGUGGCGGAGAUGCGUAUGUUGAGAUGGAUGUGUGGCCACACGAGGAAGGAUCGAGUCCGGAAUGAUGAUAUACGAGAUAGAGCUGGGGUAGCACCAAUUGAGGAGAAGCUUGUCCAACAUCGUCUGAGAUGGUUUGGGCAUAUUCAGCGCAGGCCUCCAGAAGCUCCAGUGCAUAGC
Molecule: ribosomal RNA, 339 nt
Filed under: Triticum aestivum (bread wheat)
Lineage: Eukaryota; Viridiplantae; Streptophyta; Magnoliopsida; Poales; Poaceae
Description: partial small subunit ribosomal RNA
Source: RNAcentral